GUGGGGAAUCUUGCGCAAUGGGCGAAAGCCUGACGCAGCCAUGCCGCGUGAAUGAUGAAGGCCUUAGGGUUGUAAAGCUCUUUCAGCUGGGAAGAUAAUGACGGUACCAGCAGAAGAAGCCCCGGCUAACUUCGUGUCAGCAGCCGCGGUAAUACGAAGGGGGCUAGCGUUGUUCGGAAUCACUGGGCGUAAAGCGCACGUAGGCGGAUCGAUAAGUCAGGGGUGAAAUCCCGAGGCUCAACCUCGGAACUGCCUUUGAUACUGUCGACCUUGAGUCCGGGAGAGGUGAGUGGAACUCCGAGUGUAGAGGUGAAAUUCGUAGAUAUUCGGAAGAACACCAGUGGCGAAGGCGGCUCACUGGCCCGGUACUGACGCUGAGGUGCGAAAGCGUGGGGAGCAAACAGGAUUAGAAACCCCUGUAGUCC
Molecule: ribosomal RNA, 425 nt
Filed under: uncultured bacterium
Lineage: Bacteria
Description: partial 16S ribosomal RNA
Rfam family: Bacterial small subunit ribosomal RNA
Source: RNAcentral